Molecule: ribosomal RNA, 492 nt
Filed under: uncultured bacterium
Lineage: Bacteria
Description: partial 16S ribosomal RNA
Rfam family: Bacterial small subunit ribosomal RNA
Source: RNAcentral
AGUGAACGCUGGCGGCAUGCCUAACACAUGCAAGUCGAACGGCCGCACAGUAAGAGUUUGCUCUUACGGGUGGCGACUGGCGGACGGGUGAGGAAUACAUCGGAUUCUACUUUUUCGUGGGGGAUAACGUAGGGCCACUUACGCUACUACCGCAUACAACCUACGGGAUAAUGCAAUGGAUCUUCGCACCUUUCCCGUUUCUUAUAGCCGAUUCCGGGUUAGCUUGGUGGCGGGGUAAAGGCCCAACAAGGCAACGAUCCGUUGCUUGUCUGACAGGAUGAUUCGGCAACCUGGAACUGAGACACGGUCCCGACCCCUACGGGAGGCAGCAGGUGGGAAUUUUCGGCAAUGGGCGGAAGCCUGACGCAGCCAAGCCCCGUGGGUGAAGAAGGCCUUCGGGUUGUAAAGCCCUUUUGUUGGGAAAGAAAAGCAGCAGGUUAAUCCCCCGCUGUUCUGACGGUACCCAAAGAAUAAGCACCGGCUAACUUCGUG